Oryza sativa Japonica Group (Japanese rice) is the source of this 204-nucleotide microRNA precursor. It matches the Rfam family "MIR812 microRNA precursor family". NCBI's taxonomy places the organism in Eukaryota, Viridiplantae, Streptophyta, Magnoliopsida, Poales, Poaceae. The record is from Rfam.
AAUAGAUGCGUCAUUGACUUUUUUUUCACAUGUUUGACCAUUUGUCUUAUCCAAAAAAUUUACGUAAUUAUAAUUUAUUUUGCUAUGAGUUAUUUUAUCACUCAUAGUACUUUAAGUGUGAUUUAUAUCUUAUACAUUCGUAUAAAAUUUUUAAAUAAGACGAAUGGUCAAACAUGUAAGAAAAAGUCAACUGCGUCAUCUAUU